Molecule: long non-coding RNA, 1633 nt
Filed under: Homo sapiens (human)
Lineage: Eukaryota; Metazoa; Chordata; Mammalia; Primates; Hominidae
Description: HSALNT0215546
Source: RNAcentral
CAAGCUCCGCUUCCUGGGAUCACGCCAUUCUCCUGCCUCAGCCUCCUGAGUAGCUGGGACUACAGGCGCCCGCCACCAUGCCUGGCUAAUUUUUUGUAUUUUUAGUAGAGACGGAGUUUUACCAUGUUAGCCAGGAUGGUCUCCAUCUCCUGACCUCAUGAUCCGCCGCCUUGGCCUCCCAAAGUGCUGGGAUUACAGAUGUGAGCCACUGCGCCUGGCCAAAAAAUGAUUUUUUAAAGGUAUCUUUAAGGCUACUUAAGAAGACAGCUGCUCAUCACAUAGGACUGAAGCACACAAAAAAAGGCUUGAGUUCCAGUCUGGCAGCACUUGGCCUGCUCUGUCUGCCCAGAAUUUAGUGAUCAUCAAACCUGAAAUGUGAAGGAUCACAGGAAGGGUGGUGGAUUCUGGAAGGAUAUCCAGCACCUGCAGACUUAGUGGUUAGAGCUCCCUUGAAGUCCUGUGCAGGAGAAAUACCUAAAACAUAAAACUCAAAGCCAGCCUGCAGCAUCCUUUAUGCUAUCAAAUUGAAUCAGUGGAGAGAGAUGAUCCAAUUCACCACAGAGCUGAAGUGGAAGGAACAAAAUUAAUGAUUCACCCUGAAUAAAUAAAACCUAAAUGGCUUUGGGAGGCUUGGUCCAGAUGGAACUUUGAAAUGCUCUUCAAACAUUUCCAAAGUGCUAGAAGAUCCUAGGAACCUAAAGACUGUGAGGGUGGCAGUGAUGUGAAGAUGACAGUGGUAGUGCCGACAGAGUGAUGAUAAUAACAAUGGCAACGAUGGUGGUCCUGAUUGUCGGGAGGAUGAGGACAGUGGUGAUGAUGUGCAGGUGACAAAGCUGAUGAUGAUGGCGGUGGUAAUCGUGAGUGCAGUGACUAUUAAUCCAGGCCCUUUCCAUUCUACAAUUCUAUUGUUUGGGAUGACAAAGUUGUAUUAGGUCCUUGGUUCAAUUGAAACAAGCAUAUUUCGAAUUAUGCCCAAUUCUCAAACUGAUUAUUUUAUCCAAUAGACAUUUUGCAAGAGAGGAAAAUAUUCAAAGUUCUGUCCUCAGCCCUGAAGAGCACAUUUUAGUAAGAGUCUCAAGGAGUUCAGAGUUGCUAAAGACAGAAUGUUUGCGUUGUCCCAAAAUUCAUAUGUUGAAAUCUUAAUUUUUAGUGUGAUGAUUUUAGGAAGGGGGCUUUCGGUAGGUGAUUAGACGGGUAAUUAGAUUAUCAUCUUCACAAAAGAGACAUCAGAGAGCUCCCUUGCCCCUUGUGCCAUGUGAGGACACAGAGAGAAGACAGCUGAUUAUAAACCAAGAAGGAAACCCUCAGCAGACACUGGAUCUCAUGGCACCUUGAUCCUGGAUUUUCUAGCCUCCAGAACUGUGAGAAAUAAGCUUUGGUUGUUUGUACAUCAUCCAGUCGACAGUAUUCUGCUUUAGCAGCCCAAGAAGACUAUGGAACAGUCUAGGCAAGGAGAUGCAGGAGUAGCAUGAAAUUUUAAGAGGUUUAGGAAACUGCCUGGUGAAGAAACACAGGUCAGUAGAGAAGUGUGAAGGCUCAUUUAACUUUCUAACUGGAGAGAGUCACCGUUGCCAUGAAGAGCAGGCAGAGACGUUAAAGAAGAUCCAUAUUGUGCAAGGCGUGCUGGAUUUUG